Molecule: ribosomal RNA, 508 nt
Filed under: uncultured bacterium
Lineage: Bacteria
Description: partial 16S ribosomal RNA
Rfam family: Bacterial small subunit ribosomal RNA
Source: RNAcentral
GACGAACGCUGGCGGCGUGCCUAACACAUGCAAUGGAGCGACGAACCAGACUUCGGUCUGGGGCCAAGCCGCGAACGGGUGAGUAACACGUGGGUAACCUGCCCCGAUGAUCGGGACAACCCGGGGAAACCCGGGCUAAUACCGAAUGUGGUCGCGGUCCGUGAGGACUGUGACGAAAGGAAGCUUCGGCCUCCGCAUCGGGCUGGGCCCGCGGCCCAUUAGCUUGUUGGUGGGGUAAUGGCCUACCAAGGCAUCGAUGGGUAGCUGGUCUGAGAGGACGAUCAGCCACACUGGGACUGAGACACGGCCCAGACUCCUACGGGAGGCAGCAGUGGGGAAUCUUGCGCAAUGCGCGAAAGCGUGACGCAGCAACGCCGCGUGGGGGAAGAAGGCUCUCGGGUCGUAAACCCCUUUCAGUUGGGACGAAGCUUCGCCGGUGAAUAGCCGGCCGGAGUGACGGUACCUUCACAAGAAGCCCCGGCUAACUACGUGCCAGCCGCCGCCGUAA